CCCGGAUUUUGUGCUUAUAAAACAUUUUAAGCGAUCAUUACUAAUUAUUUAUUGUUCUUUAAGAAAUUGUGUCAUUACUAAAUCAAAUUAGCUAUUUGCACUAAUCAGAAGAAAAAAUGAGUUUACUUAUCAUGUUAAGCAGGGACAACUCCCUUCCUUAUGUUUUUGUUAGAGAGGGGUGGGGCCUUGAUUGGCUGAGGUGACGUGAGCAAAACGCUCAGUGAGUGCCUGGAGCUUUUAGGAUGCUGGGUUACCGCGGAUUUUUGAAAAUCAACAUGACACGAUGGACCUUAUGUUUGCAAAAAAGUGGAGGAGUCUUAACCUGCAAUAAGGUGGGUCCUGCUACGCUGGAUGUAGAUCAGGUGUUCUUGUAAUUCAGCAGUGGGAAAGAACCUUAAGCGGGAAUUUGGUAACACUUUAUAAUAACUACACACUAUAAAUCAUUUAUUAAGCAUUAGCAAAUAGUGAAUUCUUUAUUUGUCAAGCAUUAACUCUACGUUGAUAAACGUUAGUAAGCAGUUUAUAACUGCAGCUACACAUGCUGUAUUAUUGACUUACAAACACAAUUAUAAUGUGCUUAAUAAUUGUACUUUUCGUACUUUGUUAAUGAUUCAUUUUUCAUUGACAAAUUAAGUAAUCGCAUUAUUAACAAACCAGUUAUUUAAGAGUAGUUGGCUGUUUUUUAAGAUCAGUCAGAAUGAGUUAGUAAAUUAUUAAUAAAUUAUUGAAAUCAACAUUUGUAUAUCUUAUUAUUCAGGCAUUUACAAUUAGUUAAUUUGUAUGUUUAAAAAUGCUUUAUUAACUCAACUUCAUCCAGUUUUGUGACCUAAACAAAAGUGAAGACUAUUCAUGCUUUAUAAAUUGCUUAUAAAUGACAAUUAAAGGCUCAGUUAAAUUCUAAACAGGAAAAACAACAUAAAUGACACUAUUCAUUCCUAUUCAGUUGAAGAUACACAUAUAAACUGCAUCAAAUGAAAAAUAAAUCUUUGCAACCUUCUCUAAAAUAAAAUUACUGUACAGUUUAAACAUUGCAUCUUAUUAUAUUGUUAAAUUAUUAUAUUAUUGU
Long non-coding RNA from Danio aesculapii, 1066 nucleotides. RefSeq lists it as uncharacterized. The transcript is spliced from 3 exons. NCBI's taxonomy places the organism in Eukaryota, Metazoa, Chordata, Actinopteri, Cypriniformes, Danionidae. The record is from RefSeq and is a predicted model, not a curated record.